AGUGAACGCUGGCGGUAGGCCUAACACAUGCAAGUCGAACGGCAGCACAGUAAGAGCUUGCUCUUACGGGUGGCGAGUGGCGGACGGGUGAGGAAUACAUCGGAAUCUACUUUUUCGUGGGGGAUAACGUAGGGAAACUUACGCUAAUACCGCAUACGACCUACGGGUGAAAGCAGGGGAUCUUCGGACCUUGCGCGAUUGAAUGAGCCGAUGUCGGAUUAGCUAGUUGGCGGGGUAAAGGCCCACCAAGGCGACGAUCCGUAGCUGGUCUGAGAGGAUGAUCGGCCACACUGGAACUGAGACACGGUCCAGACUCCUACGGGAGGCAGCAGUGGGGAAUAUUGGGCAAUGGGCGAAAGCCUGAUCCAGCCAUACCGCGUGGGUGAAGAAGGCCUUCGGGUUGUAAAGCCCUUUUGUUGGGAAAGAAAAGCAGCAGGUUAAUACCCCGCUGUUCUGACGGUACCCAAAGAAUAAGCACCGGCUAACUUCGUG
RNAcentral lists this ribosomal RNA (492 nucleotides) under uncultured bacterium. RNAcentral's name for it is "partial 16S ribosomal RNA". It matches the Rfam family "Bacterial small subunit ribosomal RNA", at positions 29 to 507 of the family's 1533-position model. The record is from RNAcentral.